RNAcentral lists this ribosomal RNA (253 nucleotides) under uncultured bacterium. RNAcentral's name for it is "partial 16S ribosomal RNA". It matches the Rfam family "Bacterial small subunit ribosomal RNA", at positions 524 to 776 of the family's 1533-position model. The record is from RNAcentral.
UACGAAGGGUGCAAGCGUUACUCGGAAUUACUGGGCGUAAAGCGUGCGUAGGUGGUUCGUUAAGUCUGAUGUGAAAGCCCUGGGCUCAACCUGGGAAUUGCAUUGGAUACUGGCGCGCUAGAGUGCGGUAGAGGAGAGUGGAAUUCCCGGUGUAGCAGUGAAAUGCGUAGAGAUCGGGAGGAACAUCAGUUGCGAAGGCGGCUCUCUGGACCAACACUGACACUGAGGCACGAAAGCGUGGGGAGCAAACAGG